Molecule: ribosomal RNA, 497 nt
Filed under: uncultured bacterium
Lineage: Bacteria
Description: partial 16S ribosomal RNA
Rfam family: Bacterial small subunit ribosomal RNA
Source: RNAcentral
GAUGAACGCUGGCGGCGUGCCUAAUACAUGCAAGUCGAGCGAACAGACGAGGAGCUUGCUCCUCUGACGUUAGCGGCGGACGGGUGAGUAACACGUGGAUAACCUACCUAUAAGACUGGGAUAACUUCGGGAAACCGGAGCUAAUACCGUAUAAUAUAUUGAACCGCAUGGUUCAAUAGUGAAAGACGGUUUUGCUGUCACUUAUAGAUGGAUCCGCGCCGCAUUAGCUAGUUGGUAAGGUAACGGCUUACCAAGGCGACGAUGCGUAGCCGACCUGAGAGGGUGAUCGGCCACACUGGAACUGAGACACGGUCCAGACUCCUACGGGAGGCAGCAGUAGGGAAUCUUCCGCAAUGGGCGAAAGCCUGACGGAGCAACGCCGCGUGAGUGAUGAAGGUCUUCGGAUCGUAAAACUCUGUUAUUAGGGAAGAACAAAUGUGUAAGUAACUAUGCACGUCUUGACGGUACCUAAUCAGAAAGCCACGGCUAACUACGUG